UACGGGGGGUGCGAGCGUUGUCCGGAAUCACUGGGCGUAAAGGGCGCGUAGGUGGCCUGAUAAGGGUGUGGUGAAAGUCCGGGGCUCAACCCCGGAUCUGCCGUGCCGACUGUUAGGCUAGAGUGCUGUAGGGGCAGGCGGAAUUCCGGGUGUAGCGGUGGAAUGCGUAGAGAUCCGGAGGAAGACCGGUGGCGAAGGCGGCCUGCUGGGCAGAUACUGACACUGAGGCGCGACAGCGUGGGGAGCAAACAGG
This 253-nucleotide ribosomal RNA is filed under the name uncultured bacterium. RNAcentral describes it as "partial 16S ribosomal RNA". It matches the Rfam family "Bacterial small subunit ribosomal RNA", at positions 524 to 776 of the family's 1533-position model. The record is from RNAcentral.